AACAAAAACAUGUCCUUUAGAUAUAUAAUUAAAGGUCUAACCUGCCCAAUGAUUUUAAAUGGCCGCAGAAAUUUAACUGUGCGAAGGUAGCAUAAUCAUUAGUUUUUUAAUUGAAAGCUUGUAUGAAUGGUUGGACGAGAUAAAUUCUGUCUUUUUAUAAAAAUAUUAAUUUAAUUUUUAAGUUAAAAAGCUUAAAUUAUAUUAAUAGACGAGAAGACCCUAUAGAUCUUUAUAGAAUUAUUAUUAAAUAUUUUAGGAAUAUUAAGUUUUUAAUAUGAAAUUUUAUUUUAUUGGGGUAAUGUAAAAAUUUAAAUAAUUUUUUAUUUUUAAUUACAUAGAUAUAUGAAUAUUAGAUCCAAUAAUAUUGAAAUAAGAUUAAGUUACCUUAGGGAUAACAGCGUAAUUUUUUUAGAGAGUUCAUAUCGAUAAAAAAGUUUGCGACCUCGAUGUUG
This 452-nucleotide ribosomal RNA is filed under the name Philaccolus sp. BI-2011. RNAcentral's name for it is "partial 16S ribosomal RNA". The record is from RNAcentral. Lineage: Eukaryota; Metazoa; Arthropoda; Insecta; Coleoptera; Dytiscidae.